ACACAAUAGAAAAUUAAAACAGCCCUUCUAUUUUAUCGGUGGCUAGUCAAAAACAAUUCUCCGCCGCCGCCGCCGCCGCCGCCGCUAGAAUCUAAUGCCGGCAACUCCAAAGUCUAUUCUCUUCCUUUCCCUCUUGCUACUCUCAUCUAAUCUCUCCCACUCCUUCUUCUCCAACUAUUACAACCUAUUCUCCCUCUCCCACUCCCUCCUCUCCCGCGUCGCCGCCCAACGAACCGCCCGCGGCGAUGUCGAGGGGGCGGCCCGGGCCCGGGCUCUGGCCCGCACCUUCGAGCCCGGUGGCCUGGGAUUGUACAAGUCUGCAUGGAGCUUUGGAUGGGAUUUUCUGAAGAAUUACGCGUGGAGCGACGCGGCGUCGUUUCGUGACAUUGGCGGCGUAGUGUCCGAUUUGAAUGAAUUGUUAGGGAUUUUGAGCGAAUUGAGUCGGAUUCCCUCCGAUGCGGAGAGGCUCGCCUGGGCUGGUCGAAAUUACAAAAACGCCCUUAGGGUUUCGAAGUCGAUCUUCAAUCGACUGCUCAACGUCUUCCGUCGAUCUGGGCCGUUACGGGAUAUAGUGCUGAGCCUUCAGAAAGAAGUGGUGGAGGGUGAUCUGCUUAGGGACUGCAUUGAGUUAGGCGCGGGCGACCUUAAGGGUUUGGUACAGAUUGUGAAGGGCAUUGCACUCCAAUAUUUCCCUGCUGCUCCUAGGAAUGAACUGUAAAAGAUGCUGUGGGUGAUGCUUAGCGAAAGUUUUGCGGAACAUUGGAUUUUGCAGUCUUCGGUGGAGAAGAAAGUUUGGUUUCUGGUGGUUUUAGGCUUUUGAAGAAUGAUUUGACUAGUGAAGGAUGUUUUGUAGAAUGCAGUGUUUCCCCUUCAUCACUGUAUAACCUUCUGGUUUUUGCCUGUCUGGAACACAGGGAGACUGGAUGACAAGUUUUGCAGAAUCGAAGUUGAUUGUGUUUGUCCUUCAACAGCUGCACUCUGCUCAUUCACUGGAUUUUUGGAGUACAUGGUGUUGAUUACUAAUGGCAUUUCAUAUCAAAUCAACUGUGUUGAUUUUUCGCAGUCCAGAUGAAGAAGAAGAUGGCUGAAUGAGUGAACACAGCGUAUACUCUUUGAAUCCCGACAAUGCUUACCAGCUGCCCAUAUUUGCUAAGAGCUGGGUGCCUGUUUGUUUCUAUACAGAUUGCUCUGUGCAAAAUACAUCAAGUUGUUCUGAAUAGAUUUCUCUAUGUAAAUCGCUUUUUGAAAGCUUGUCGGAUAUUCUGAAUGUUAGUGUAAUGAUCAUUUCACUGUCAUUGAAUA
Non-coding RNA from Salvia hispanica, 1302 nucleotides. The record is from RefSeq and is a predicted model, not a curated record. Lineage: Eukaryota; Viridiplantae; Streptophyta; Magnoliopsida; Lamiales; Lamiaceae.